Molecule: ribosomal RNA, 233 nt
Filed under: uncultured bacterium
Lineage: Bacteria
Description: partial 16S ribosomal RNA
Rfam family: Bacterial small subunit ribosomal RNA
Source: RNAcentral
CGGGACGGGUGAGUAAUGUCUGGGAAACUGCCUGAUGGAGGGGGGUAACUACUGGAAACGGUAGCUAAUACCGCAUAACGUCGCAAGACCAAAGAGGGGGACCUUAGGGCCUCUUGCCAUCGGAUGUGCCCAGAUGGGAUUAGCUAGUAGGUGGGGUAACGGCUCACCUAGGCGACGAUCCCUAGCUGGUCUGAGAGGAUGACCAGCCACACUGGAACUGAGACACGGUCCAG